CGACCCGACCAUUUGCCAUCUCUAACUCUUCUUACAUCUGCGUCGCCACUGGCUCCGCCUCCUCCCUGAGCGCGUUUGCCUCGCACCACCGCCACCCUGAGCGUCCCUUCCACCGCGGCCGCCCCCUUCCCCCGCCGCUCUCCGCUGUUCCCUCAUCAACAUGACCGCUCUGCCCCCCUCCCUGCUACCCCCUCCUCAACUCCACCGCCUGCCGUCGCCUGCACCUUCCUCACUUGCGCCGUCCUCCUUGAUUCCUUCCUCCACCGUGAGGUAAGAGCGCAAGGACGGUGGCAGUGCUGAUAGCAGAGAGAAAAGGAGAGGGAGACGAGUGCGGCGUGAAAUAGCACGGGGAAGGACACACAGGGAAGGGUCACCGCACGCCGCGGCCUCCCUCCCUGUACACUCCCGUGCAAGGAGAGGAGGCACUGCUUCCUCGCAGGCCAGGUGCUCGACGAAAAUCCACUAUUAACGACGUCAGCGUGCUGGGGCUGGAGGCACGGGAGAGGCAAGGAGAAACGAAGCGACGGCAGGCUCCUCCCCUUCCCGAUGCCUCCGGCGACCUCGCCAUGGCCUCUUGCGCCUCGUCGAUGUAGAUCGCGGCUCCCGUGCCGUCCGAGUCUGCCGUCAUGCCAUGGACUACGACAGCUGCUCUGCAUCGCCGUCGCUGCUUCCUCUCGUUUGCCCUCUCCAUAUCUACCAACAUCCAGUACCAGCAUCCCGAGGAAGAAAAAAAGUGAUGAGUUUUCACUAAUGGAUAAGUUUAUCUCCUAUGGAUAUAUAUGCCUGAUUGAUGCAUCAAAGUAAACACAGAAGAGCUGAAAAAAGGAGUCAGCACAAAUUGUUUAUCUCCUAUGGCCUCGUUUAUCUCCUAUGGAUAAGUUUAUCUCCUAGUAUGAUUUCAAAGAGAGACUAAUUGUUGAAGAGGAACUGCGAAGUUCUCCUGCAUGUUUGAGAAAAAAAAAGAAGUUAGAGUAAUUGCUAAAGCAAUCAUAAACGAGGUUACAGUCUCCCUGACCAAAAUUCUUAAAAUGUACACAUUGCCCCAAAUGUGCUACUUCAACAGUAGGAGUAAGAAGUUAGUACUGAUUUCCUUUUUCUCAAUUACUCAUAUAAGAAGUGCUUCAUUCUUAAUUUUAGAAGCUUUCACCUAUGUUUCACAUUGUUAAAUCAAAUGAAUUUCCAAUCUGUAUCUUAUCCUUUCUUCUGAAGGGUCAAAAAAAGGUACACUUAUGAGAAAAAUAUUCAUGAUUAUCCCUGAAUGCUUCAUCCUCCCACUUUCUCCAUUUAUGGAUCUACCAGAAUGUAAAGAUUAGGAUCAAUAUGGCAUUAAUGCAAAUCAAAACACAAUUAUCCUGAUUAAAAAAUGCAUGACACAAGCAGUCGGUUUUCCUUUAUUGUUUACAUUCUCUUGCCUGUAAGCUUUUCAUUAUUUCAGUCUGACAGGCCACGACAAUUCUAGACGGCUCAAGGAUCUGGGGGCGCCAUCUUUUCAGUGCUAUUGUCAGAAAUUCGUCAGAAGAGAAUUCAAGUUCAGAAGGCAGUUUUUUGCCAUGAAGGAAGGGCGAGGAAUGUAAGAGGCUCAUAAGUUGGCCAAAGUGGCUAUGAAUUAGAGGUAGGUCGUCAUAUUUGCUACAUGUAUCCACCUGAUAUUAUUUUUGUA
Long non-coding RNA from Phragmites australis (common reed), 1660 nucleotides. RefSeq lists it as uncharacterized. The record is from RefSeq and is a predicted model, not a curated record. The transcript is spliced from 2 exons. Lineage: Eukaryota; Viridiplantae; Streptophyta; Magnoliopsida; Poales; Poaceae.